AGGAAGGCCGGGAUGACGUCAAAUCAGCACGGCCCUUACGUCCAGGGCUACACACGUGCUACAAUGGCCGAUACAGAGGGCAGCUACCUGGUGACAGGAUGCAAAUCUCCAAAGUCGGUCUCAGUUCGGAUCGGAGUCUGCAACCCGACUCCGUGAAGUUGGAUUCGCUAGUAAUCGCGCAUCAGCCAUGGCGCGGUGAAUACGUUCCCGGGCCUU
This 216-nucleotide ribosomal RNA is filed under the name uncultured Sphingobacteriales bacterium. Its description in RNAcentral is "partial 16S ribosomal RNA". It matches the Rfam family "Bacterial small subunit ribosomal RNA", at positions 1167 to 1382 of the family's 1533-position model. The record is from RNAcentral. Lineage: Bacteria; Pseudomonadati; Bacteroidota; Sphingobacteriia; Sphingobacteriales.